UUUUAUGUUCCAAUACUUCCUAAUAUAUAUGUCAUUUUAUUUUGUAGUUUAUAAUGAAAUUAUGUAUAUUUUAAGUAUAAACAGACACUUAUUUACACGAAAUAUAAUAAAUUUACUUAAAUCCGCCUAGUCCACCUAAGUGCUAGACCCCAGCUUGCCGCCCGACUAGCGCCUAGUGUCUUUUAGAGCUGGUUAGAGUGGAGAAUCACCCUUCAGGCUCAGAUUAAUCAUAGUCUUUGGUUAUCAUGUAUCUUUUACAUAACAACCACUACUCCAACAAACAUAAUAACUAUCUUAUGACACUUUUAUAAUUUUUAUUUUAUGCUUUAUGCAUGACACUUGUAUUAUUCUACGUCAUAACAUGAAUAAAAGUAUAAGAGAAGACGAUACAUGAGACGGCUGAAAAUAUAAUUGAAGGAAACUAAAGCCUUGAUCAUAUGACAACUAUAUAUUUGUUGAUUGAUGGACUAAAACCUUCGACGUAUAUACGUACGUAGAAAUAGUUUACUUUGUCCUUUCGUUUAAUUUGUAUGAUUCCGACUCGUCAACUACUAUGGAAUGUGAAAAAUGUUAAAUAAAGGGUAAAUAGCCAAAAUAGUCUCUGAGAUUUGCAUAACUCAUCACUUUGGUCCCUACCAAUUCAAAUCAAUCAAAGUGGUUCCUGAGAUUGUCGAUCAUCCAUCAUUUUGGUCAUUCCGUUAAAAAUUCCAUUAAGUAUCCCGGAACUCUUGGCCGGAAGUUUGGACAAUUUUCAAAGCUUCAUAAUUCAAUCGUUUCUUAACCAAAUUCGACCCAUAAUAUAUCAAAAUGAAGAUAGGGAAGUGUAGAAUAAGAUUAUACCUAUUUGGAAACCCAAUGGUUGCCGGAUAUGGCUGGAAAUUAGCCUCAAAGUUGACUGGUCAGAGAGAAAACAGGAAAACUCGCCGGAAAUUGGGUAAACUUUAACAUUCAUAACUUCUUCAAUACUGAACAAAAUCAAGUGAUUCAAAAAUGAAAAUCAUACUUCUCGACGAGAUAAAGAGAAUGGUACCUUUUUAGAUGGCUAACUCGCCG
RNAcentral lists this long non-coding RNA (1053 nucleotides) under Malus domestica (apple). RNAcentral describes it as "long non-coding RNA (MDOM_LNC008239)". Lineage: Eukaryota; Viridiplantae; Streptophyta; Magnoliopsida; Rosales; Rosaceae. The record is from RNAcentral.